RNAcentral lists this ribosomal RNA (168 nucleotides) under Funneliformis mosseae. RNAcentral's name for it is "partial small subunit ribosomal RNA". Lineage: Eukaryota; Fungi; Glomeromycota; Glomeromycetes; Glomerales; Glomeraceae. The record is from RNAcentral.
UAUAUUAAGUUGUUGCAGUUAAAAAGCUCGUAGUUGAAUUUCGGGAUCAAUAUUUCGGUCAUGCCGUUGGUAUGCACUGUUAUCAUUGAUUUCUCACCUUCUAAAGAACCGUAAUGCCAUUAAUUUGGUGUUACGGGGAAUUAGGACUGUUACCUUGAAAAAAUUAGA